GUCUUCGGACGCCGGGCAAACGGCUCAGUAACACGUAGGUAAUCUACCCUCAGGACUGAGAUAACCCCGGGAAACUGGGGCUAAUACCAGAUAGAUAAAAGAUACUGGAAUGUUCUUUUAUCCAAAGCUUUUGCGCCUGAGGAUGGGCCUGCGUCCGAUUAGGUUGUUGGUGGGGUAAUGGCCCACCAAGCCUACGAUCGGUACGGGCAGUGGGAGCUGAAGCCCGGAGUUGGGGACUGAGACAAGGCCCCAGGCCCUACGGGGCGCAGCAGGCGCGAAACCUCUGCAAUGCGGGAAACCGUGACAGGGGGAUCCCAAGUGCUCAUGCAUUGCAUGGGCUGUUCUUUGGUCUAAGUAACCAGAGGAGUAAGGGCUGGGCAAGACCGGUGCCAGCCGCCGCGGUAAUACCGGCAGCUCAAGUGGUAGCCGCGAUUAUUGGGCCUAAAACGUUCGUAGCCGGAUAAGUAAGUCUUUGGUUAAAUCCUGCGACUUAACCGUGGGAAAUCUAGAGAUACUGCUUGUCUUGAGACCGGGAGAGGUUGGAGGUACUCCCAGGGUAGGGGUGAAAUCCUGUAAUCCUAGGGGGACCACCUGUGGCGAAGGCGUCCAACUGGAACGGGUCUGACGGUGAGGGACGAAACCUAGGGGAGCGAGCCGGAUUAGAUACCCGGGUAGUCCUAGGCGUAAAUGAUGCGAGUUAAGUGUGGGGGCAUCUACGAGAUGGCCCUGUGCUGUAGGGUAGCCGUUAAACUCGCUGCCUGGGGAGU
This 767-nucleotide ribosomal RNA is filed under the name uncultured archaeon. RNAcentral's name for it is "bacterial SSU rRNA". It matches the Rfam family "Archaeal small subunit ribosomal RNA", at positions 66 to 836 of the family's 1478-position model. The record is from RNAcentral.